AACGAACGCUGGCGGCAUGCUUAACACAUGCAAGUCGAACGAGACCUUCGGGUUUAGUGGCGCUCGGGGGUGUAACGCGUGGGAACCUGCCCUUAGGUUCGGAAUAACUGCCCGAAAGGGGUGCUUAUCCCGGAGAAUGUCGUCCGACCAAAGAUUUAUCGCCUUUGGAUGGGCCCGCGUUGGAUUAGAUAGUUGGUAGGGUAAAAGCGUACCAAGGCGACGUUCCUUAGCUGGUGUGGGAGGAGGAUCAGCCACUCUGGGACUGAGGCACGGAGCAGACUCCUACGGGAGGCAGCGGUGGGGAGUCUUAGACAGCGAACGAGAGCGUAAUACAGCAGUGCCGCGUGUGUGAUGCAGGCCUUAGGGUUGUAAAGCUCUUUUACCCGGGAUGUUAAUGACGGUACCGGGAGAAUAAGCUCCGGCUAACUCCGUG
This 433-nucleotide ribosomal RNA is filed under the name uncultured bacterium. RNAcentral describes it as "partial 16S ribosomal RNA". It matches the Rfam family "Bacterial small subunit ribosomal RNA", at positions 29 to 507 of the family's 1533-position model. The record is from RNAcentral.